AGGUAUAUUAGGGGGAGGGGGUUGCUCCGAGAGGACCCUCCACGGUGGGAUGGGAUAAUCAAGGUAUGGAUGUUCUGAGCCCUAGACACGGGUCCCCCUCGUGUCACAGCCUCGGUU
RNAcentral lists this unclassified non-coding RNA (117 nucleotides) under Sporobolus maritimus. Its description in RNAcentral is "external transcribed spacer". The record is from RNAcentral. Lineage: Eukaryota; Viridiplantae; Streptophyta; Magnoliopsida; Poales; Poaceae.